UGAAACCGGAUUUUAAUAACAUCUAGGGGCGACGUGACCGUCCGAGAUAUAGCGCCUGAGAUCAAACCGGACGUCCCAUCAAUAACCGCCCUUUUAAGUUGCCCCGGCUCUCCCUCUUCCAUCUCCCAACACAACACUAGCACACCUUAUGCUAAAACCUAAGAAGUGGGGAAUACCUGAGAAGAAAGGAGACUAAAGUCAACGCCACAACCGCCAUUGACCACUGAAAAGUCGGUGGAAAUUGGGGGUUUGGUUGCCGCUGAAAGGAAGGAGAUGGAAAGGGAGGCAACUUUCUAGAGAAUAAGAGGUCCGAUUGGCUGGCUCCUGGCUGCCAUAACUUUGUGAAUGGAAUAAAGUAUAAACUGGUAUCAAAUUA
RNAcentral lists this long non-coding RNA (376 nucleotides) under Helianthus annuus (common sunflower). Its description in RNAcentral is "hypothetical non coding rna". Lineage: Eukaryota; Viridiplantae; Streptophyta; Magnoliopsida; Asterales; Asteraceae. The record is from RNAcentral.